GAUGAACGCUGGCGGCGUGCCUAAUACAUGCAAGUCGAGCGAACAGACGAGGAGCUUGCUCCUCUGACGUUAGCGGCGGACGGGUGAGUAACACGUGGAUAACCUACCUAUAAGACUGGGAUAACUUCGGGAAACCGGAGCUAAUACCGGAUAAUAUAUUGAACCGCAUGGGUCAAUAGUGAAAGACGGUUUUGCUGUCACUUAUAGAUGGAUCCGCGCCGCAUUAGCUAGUUGGUAAGGUAACGGCUUACCAAGGCAACGAUGCGUAGCCGACCUGAGAGGGUGAUCGGCCACACUGGAACUGAGACACGGUCCAGACUCCUACGGGAGGCAGCAGUAGGGAAUCUUCCGCAAUGGGCGAAAGCUUGACGGAGCAACGCCGCGUGAGUGAUGAAGGUCUUCGGAUCGUAAAACUCUGUUAUUAGGGAAGAACAAAUGUGUAAGUAACUAUGCACGUCUUGACGGUACCUAAUCAGAAAGCCACGGCUAACUACGUG
This 497-nucleotide ribosomal RNA is filed under the name uncultured bacterium. RNAcentral describes it as "partial 16S ribosomal RNA". It matches the Rfam family "Bacterial small subunit ribosomal RNA", at positions 28 to 507 of the family's 1533-position model. The record is from RNAcentral.